This is a long non-coding RNA of Bos taurus (domestic cattle), 798 nucleotides long. Lineage: Eukaryota; Metazoa; Chordata; Mammalia; Artiodactyla; Bovidae. The record is from Ensembl.
CCAGGCGGAGCCACCACACCCUGGAAGCAGCACUCUCGCAUCUUGGAGUCGGCUCCCUCCAGAAGGGCAGAGGUGUUUCCGGAUGACUCAAGAUCUGCCCCUCCUCCUUAAAUCCCAAGUGAUUAAAAAAACAAACAAACCUGAGACCACCACAGGGAUGGGAAGACAAGCCUCUGAAACACCCAAACAUAUUGGGUGCUUCUGAGGAUUUCAGAAUUUGAAAAGGUCAAAAGACAGAAGCCGAAGGUCAGAAGUGAGGAUGACGAAGCGAAGGCAAGAGGGACAGAUUUCUGUAAAAGCCUCAGAGAGGCAAAACUCAGAAGGACCUGAAAGUUCACCCCAAUGCAAAGAACAGCACAAGGACUGCGGAAAUGCGUCUGGGACAGCCAGGAGGUGUGGAGGAUGGAGCAAGAAGCCUUGGAGAGAGUUUACUUCUGCACAUAAAAAUGUUUGGGGAUUUCACAUGACAAGGUCGGACUUUUCUGGAAAAAUCAGAAUAGCAACGGUAGGACCUGAGUCCUACGGGCAGCAAGUGCCCCCUGCAGGUGGGACCCAGAAUCGCAAGUGUGCCCUGGUCACCACCACUCCCUAUCACACACCCACCCCCAGCCUGAGGUUCUUUGAACACUGGAGUUUUCAACCUCUGAACUGGAAGGCCUUUUAAGUCACCAAAGGUAUCACUUUUCAAUCCAGCCUGAGCUAAGCUCACACUUCUUUAUAUGAGAAAAGCCAGAAAGAAUAGACAAGAGCUCCUUCUCUUGCUAAAAGGCCCCCAAUCGCAGUCUUUACCAAUAAGUG